UUGUCUCAAAGAUUAAGCCAUGCAUGUCUAAGUAUAAGCAAUUAUACAGCGAAACUGCGAAUGGCUCAUUAUAUAAGUUAUCGUUUAUUUGAUAGUACCUUACUACUUGGAUAACCGUGGUAAUUCUAGAGCUAAUACAUGCUAAAAAUCCCGACUUCGGAAGGGAUGUAUUUAUUAGAUUAAAAACCAAUGCCCUCUGGGCUCCUUGGUGAUUCAUGAUAACUUCUCGAAUCGCAUGGCCUUGCGCCGGCGAUGGUUCAUUCAAAUUUCUUCCCUAUCAACUUUCGAUGUUUGGGUAGUGGCCAAACAUGGUUGCAACGGGUAACGGAGGGUUAGGGCUCGACCCCGGAGAAGGAGCCUGAGAAACGGCUACUACAUCCAAGGAAGGCAGCAGGCGCGCAAAUUACCCAAUCCCGAUUCGGGGAGGUAGUGACAAUAAAUACUGAUACAGGGCUCUUUUGGGUCUUGUAAUUGGAAUGAGUACAAUUUAAAUCCCUUAACGAGGAACAAUUGGAGGGCAAGUCUGGUGCCAGCAGCCGCGGUAAUUCCAGCUCCAAUAGCGUAUAUUAAAGUUGUUGUGGUUAAAAAGCUCGUAGUUGAACCUUGGGCCUGGCUGGCCGGUCCGCCUCACCGCGUGUACUGGUCCGGCCGGGUCUUUCCCUCUGUGGAACCCCAUGCCCUUCACUGGGUGUGGCGGGGAAACAGGACUUUUACUUUGAAAAAAUUAGAGUGCUCCAGGCAGGCCUAUGCUCGAAUACAUUAGCAUGGAAUAAUGAAAUAGGACGUGCGGUUCUAUUUUGUUGGUUUCUAGGACCGCCGUAAUGAUUAAUAGGGACAGUCGGGGGCAUCAGUAUUCAAUUGUCAGAGGUGAAAUUCUUGGAUUUAUUGAAGACUAACUACUGCGAAAGCAUUUGCCAAGGAUGUUUUCAUUAAUCAGGAACGAAAGUUAGGGGAUCGAAGACGAUCAGAUACCGUCGUAGUCUUAACCAUAAACUAUGCCGACUAGGGAUCGGACGAUGUUAUUUAUUGACUCGUUCGGCACCUUACGAGAAAUCAAAGUGCUUGGGCUCCAGGGGGAGUAUGGUCGCAAGGCUGAAACUUAAAG
Molecule: ribosomal RNA, 1105 nt
Filed under: Pochonia chlamydosporia var. catenulata
Lineage: Eukaryota; Fungi; Ascomycota; Sordariomycetes; Hypocreales; Clavicipitaceae
Also listed under: 2 other names
Description: SSU rRNA
Rfam family: Eukaryotic small subunit ribosomal RNA
Source: RNAcentral